This 1162-nucleotide long non-coding RNA is filed under the name Macaca mulatta (Rhesus monkey). RNAcentral describes it as "lncRNA (ENSMMUG00000056188.1)". The record is from RNAcentral. Lineage: Eukaryota; Metazoa; Chordata; Mammalia; Primates; Cercopithecidae.
CAUCGUGUAGAUUUGGGAAACAUCUCCAUGCGUACAAAGGGGUAGAAGUCGCUUCCACAGCAUCAUAAGUGACAUUUUUUGGUUUUAGUUCUCAGGUUUGAAGACACAGAGACACACUCAUUGUUGUCCAUGGAAAGGUGGAUUUGUCAUAAGGACACAAAGCAUUCUUUGGGGAAUCCAGGAGUAGGCGGUGGAAUACAGCCUGGCCCCAUGGACUAGAACAGAGGGUCCGUGGUCUUUCAUUCAUGACGUCCCUGCUUUUCUCUGUGCACCAAGUUCAUUUUCCUGUUUCUACUGGUCAGGCUUCCCAUGCCUUCAGCUUGUCCAUAGUCCGUAAUAGCCCUCUGGCCCCGAGUCACCUCACCCUCAGUUCCUUCUCCAGAGCCCACCGAUUCAGAGUUUCCAUUGCCUGAUUCAGUAUUUCUAAGUGAUCACUCAUCAGCUCAGCUCAGCCUUCUGAGCCAGAUCACCAGAGACAUCAUUACUGGCAACCUGUGGAUACAUUUAGAAACAACAGUGCAGACGUGACUGGGGAAAGACAGCAUAAUUAUUUUACUAUUUAAUUAUACUGAUAUUGGAACUAUAUCUCCAGGUUGUAGUUAACAUGUGUUAAGCCACAUGAUGAACAUUUUGGACUGUCGGUGAGGUGUUUGAGACUGUUUGUGCUAUGGCUUAUUCAACAGUGGACAGACAUGCUAGUUGUAACAGUACAGGUAUACAAAUGACUAAACAGCAGCAAUACAUUUUUUUUUUUUUAAAGAGAAUUUGAAUGACAACAAGGUGUUGCGUAGUCAGAGUUCCCAGAAUUUUCCAUUCUAUUUUGACUUUCGCUUAGAGGGUUUAAGUGGCCCUUCCAGAAUGCACUCGGCAGCUUUGGGAAAGGAUCAGAAACGGAGGCAAUGGUCAAGACAAAUGGAAUCUGAGCUACUAUGUUGGAAGAAUGCAAUGAAGACUGAAGGGCAGAAGGAAGGUAUUGGCUGGAGCUGUGAGUUCAAAUUUCCUCUCAAGUCUUGUUUAGAAAUUUAGAAGAAACUUUUACGUUUAGUCUAGUAUGACCCUUGUAGACUUUGAGAAAAUAAUUUGAUGAAACAAAUGAUUAGAAGACUUAGAAAGAGUCAUCUAAACCUCACAAUAGCCCAGAAGCUUAGAAAUCUAUACCUCU